This 423-nucleotide ribosomal RNA is filed under the name uncultured bacterium. RNAcentral describes it as "bacterial SSU rRNA". It matches the Rfam family "Bacterial small subunit ribosomal RNA", at positions 355 to 775 of the family's 1533-position model. The record is from RNAcentral.
UGAGGAAUAUUGGUCAAUGGACGCAAGUCUGAACCAGCCAUGCCGCGUGAAGGAUGAAGGCCUUCUGGGUUGUAAACUUCUUUUAUCUGGGAAGAAACCUCCGAUUUCUAUUGGAGUUGACGGUACCAGAGGAAUAAGCACCGGCUAACUCCGUGCCAGCAGCCGCGGUAAUACGGAGGGUGCAAGCGUUAUCCGGAUUUACUGGGUUUAAAGGGUGUGUAGGCGGGCUAUUAAGUCAGUGGUGAAAUCUCCGAGCUUAACUUGGAAACUGCCAUUGAUACUAUUAGUCUUGAAUUUUGUUGAGGUAGGCGGAAUAAGUCAUGUAGCGGUGAAAUGCUUAGAUAUGACUUAGAACACCAAUUGCGAAGGCAGCUUGCUAAACAAACAUUGACGCUGAGGCACGAAAGCGUGGGGAUCAAACAG